GAUGAACGCUGGCGGCGUGCCUAAUACAUGCAAGUCGAGCGAACAGACGAGGAGCUUGCUCCUCUGACGUUAGCGGCGGACGGGUGAGUAACACGUGGAUAACCUACCUAUAAGACUGGGAUAACUUCGGGAAACCGGAGCUAAUACCGGAUAAUAUAUUGAACCGCAUGGUUCAAUAGUGAAAGACGGUUUUGCUGUCACUUAUAGAUGGAUCCGCGCCGCAGUAGCUAGUUGGUAAGGUAACGGCUUACCAAGGCGACGAUGCGUAGCCGACCUGAGAGGGUGAUCGGCCACACUGGAACUGAGACACGGUCCAGACUCCUACGGGAGGCAGCAGUAGGGAAUCUUCCGCAAUGGGCGAAAGCCUGACGGAGCAACGCCGCGUGAGUGAUGAAGGUCUUCGGAUCGUAAAACUCUGUUAUUAGGGAAGAACAAAUGUGUAAGUAACUAUGCACGUCUUGACGAUACCUAAUCAGAAAGCCACGGCUAACUACGUG
This 497-nucleotide ribosomal RNA is filed under the name uncultured bacterium. RNAcentral describes it as "partial 16S ribosomal RNA". It matches the Rfam family "Bacterial small subunit ribosomal RNA", at positions 28 to 507 of the family's 1533-position model. The record is from RNAcentral.